This 73-nucleotide transfer RNA is filed under the name Caudoviricetes sp. RNAcentral's name for it is "tRNA-Leu". It matches the Rfam family "tRNA". From Rfam's summary of the family: Transfer RNA (tRNA) molecules are approximately 80 nucleotides in length. Lineage: Duplodnaviria; Heunggongvirae; Uroviricota; Caudoviricetes. The record is from RNAcentral.
GGGAGUGUAGUCCAACGGCAGAGACAGCAGAUUCAAAAUCUGUUCAGUGCGAGUUCGAAUCUCGCUACUCCUA